Molecule: ribosomal RNA, 509 nt
Filed under: uncultured Glomeraceae
Lineage: Eukaryota; Fungi; Glomeromycota; Glomeromycetes; Glomerales; Glomeraceae
Description: SSU rRNA
Rfam family: Eukaryotic small subunit ribosomal RNA
Source: RNAcentral
AGCAGCCGCGGUAAUUCCAGCUCCAAUAGCGUAUAUUAAAGUUGUUGCAGUUAAAAAGCUCGUAGUUGAAUUUCGGGGUUAGCAGGUCGGUCGUGCCAUCGGUAUGAACUGGUCUCGCUGAUCCCUCCCUCUUGACGAACUGUGAUGCCAUUAAUUUGGUGUCGCAGGGAAUCAGGACUGUUACUUUGAAAAAAUUAGAGUGUUUAAAGCAGGCUCACGCUUGAAUACAUUAGCAUGGAAUAAUGAAAUAGGACGUUUGAUCCUAUUUUGUUGGUUUCUAGGAUUGACGUAAUGAUUAAUAGGGAUAGUUGGGGGCGUUAGUAUUCAAUUGUCAGAGGUGAAAUUCUUGGAUUUAUUGAAGACUAACUACUGCGAAAGCAUUUGCCAAGGAUGUUUUCAUUAAUCAAGAACGAAAGUUAGGGGAUCGAAGACGAUCAGAUACCGUCGUAGUCUUAACCAUAAACUAUAGCCGACUAGGGGUCGGAUGAUGUUAAUUUUUUAAUAACUCA